Long non-coding RNA from Leptopilina heterotoma, 800 nucleotides. RefSeq lists it as uncharacterized. The transcript is spliced from 4 exons. The record is from RefSeq and is a predicted model, not a curated record. Lineage: Eukaryota; Metazoa; Arthropoda; Insecta; Hymenoptera; Figitidae.
AUUUAGGGUUCAAUUUUUUGUCUUGAAUUCUGGAUAACAAAAUUUGGAUAGGUGGACGUUAAUGGGUUUAUGUCAUUUUUUAGUCUCAACGUAAAUAUUGGAGGGAGAAUGGGUUAAAAGAUGUGGAAAGUGAAAUUUUGGACUUUGCGUGUUGUUUGGCACUAGCACCCCCCGAUAGAUUUGAAGAUGGCUUGAAGAUAUUACAAAAGAAAAUAAAGGAACAUGAUGAAAAUAUAAGGACAAAUUUAAACAAAUUUGUUAAUUAUAUGAGAAAUUAUUGGGGCAAAAGGAAACAUAAAUUAUGCGUAGGGCACCUUCCUCAAAGGACCAAUAAUUUAUGUGAAUCUCUCAAUAGUCGACUAACCACUCGACUAGGUGGAUGUCACCCUGUAGCAUGGAAAUUCGUAGCUUUACUACAAAAAGUAAUUAUAGACGAAGAAAUUCGUAUGUCCCAAUUAAAAAAAGGAAUAUUUGUGGGAAGUUUGAUAAAGCCACGUGACAGGGAGAGGAAUAUGAUCAUAUAUUUGUCAACCAGGCAAUUAAUGUGUGGAGGACAUUUGGAUAUAUUUCUACGAACCUGUUCCAAAGCCUAAAAUGAACAUUUGGAAUCGUUAUUGUCUGACACGUAUUUAAUUAAAUAAAAAUUUUGACUUAAGAACAAUAUCAUGGGGAAAAAUGAAUAUAAUGAUCCAACGGAAUUUUAUGAAGCAUUAAGCAAAAGGAAAGAUCAUUAUAAAAAAAUAGACUUAGGAAUGAAUAUUUUAAAAUGUGGAAGUGUAAAUAACGCUGAUAUUUUAUAU